CUUUUGAUUGAAAAACUCCUAGCACAACACAUUUUGUUUAGGACUCCUGUAAUAUAACUAUUUUUGUUUUCUUAUUUAGGAUGAAACUAAAGAAAAGGUGUCUCAUGGAUAUCUCACCAUGUGACCAGGGAGAAGAUUAUGAUGCAGAUUCAAGUGGUGGAUCAAACAUGCUUUUGCCACCCAGGAGCAGUUCUGGUGACAACAGUUCCCUGUUCAGGGCACUACCAACUCUCUUCCCAUCACAAGCUGCACCACCCAAGAAGAUGGGACAUGUCAGUGAAGCACUGAUUCAUGUCCUUCAGGUCUGGUUUCUUCAUAUUUGUUAUCAAAUAAUGUCCCUAAAGCAUUCACUUUAACAGUUUAUUUGGCAUAUGGCCUUUUUAUCCAUGCAAGUCCUGCAACAAUGUAGUUUAUAUUUGGAAAAGUGUGCAGAAAUCUGAAAUGGCACAAACACUGAUAGAUCAAAAAUUUCAUUAAAAAAAAAUAAGAAAAUCAUAAAGAAAUUAAAAACAAAAUGGAAAUAAUUACAUAUUUAACUAUCACAGGUGCAGUACCUUUGUCAUUUCCUGAAGUGUGUAAAGACAUAAUCCUAACAGUGAUGAGGCAGAAUUUAUUACAUUUUUCAAACAUGAAUAUUUGGGAUUUUCUAUACAGUAUUUGUCAAUCUAAAGAAAAAUAACAUUAAUAUGGUCUGUAGCGCAUCUGAUCUAUGGUUGUCAUCAUUCAUAUAUCACCCCAGGGGUGCACCCCAAAGGGAUCAAUAAAGUAAAGUCUACUUGUGGUUAAGUAUUUGAACUACCCUGAUAGCUUUGAAGUUGAAAUUGAUACUUGAAUUUAUUUAUUUAUUUUUUUAAUUCUUUGUUCUGUAUUACAUUAAUAAAAGUACUUUUUUUCUUUAAACACAUCUGUUCUGCAAAUUCUGUUUAAAAUUUCAAAUGCUCAUUUUAUAUGUUGAGUAGUUAACUGGUUUAACAGUUCUAAAAGGAACACAAAAUAACAAUGUUACACUUACAAUGUGUCUUUAAAUUUUUGUAUACUAUGAUUGACUGAAAUAUUUGUUACUGUUUGGAGAGUUUGUUUCCAAUAAAGGUCAUGCACACAGUA
Molecule: long non-coding RNA, 1104 nt
Organism: Oreochromis niloticus (Nile tilapia)
Lineage: Eukaryota; Metazoa; Chordata; Actinopteri; Cichliformes; Cichlidae
Exons: 2
Source: RefSeq, a predicted model, not a curated record